RNAcentral lists this long non-coding RNA (319 nucleotides) under Physcomitrium patens. RNAcentral describes it as "long non-coding RNA (PPAT_LNC011543)". The record is from RNAcentral. Lineage: Eukaryota; Viridiplantae; Streptophyta; Bryopsida; Funariales; Funariaceae.
UAAAUGAAGUUGAAAGUAAUUAAAGAAUAAAAUUACUAAUUUAAUCAUAAAGAGGCUAUUUUGGAUUUCUGAGGCAACAACACCUUCUUGUUGAUUUUAAAACCUCUAUAAUUUUUGUUUAUUUGUUUAUCUAUUUGUUUUUUUUUUCUUGAUUUUUUUUAAUACACUUCUUUUUUAGACAUGAAUUCAAGUGACGAUGAAGACUUGAAAGUGAUUGAAAAGUUAAAAGAUGAUAACUUCUACCAUUAGAAGAAGAAAAUUAAACUUUUUUUUAGUAUCAUUGGAUUUUUUAGAUAUUAUUGAUGAAAGUGAAGAGCUU